GGGCUGUGAGGUGCAGACUGGCAGCAGUGCUGAAAUCAAGCACCGGGAAUCAAAAAUAGCACAUACCUGCCUGCAAAAUGCAGCAGGAUCGACUUACAGGCACUGGCAGUUAUCCAAAGAAUGCUGUUACAGAAGCGCUCCGGCACAGCUGGGAUGAUAAUGAAAAAUAGCAGCCCAGAAUAAUGAAGCUUAAAUACAAAGUGAAUAAGAAUGUCAAUAGUCACAGUCCAGCUUGGCCAGUGUGGUAAUCAGAUUGGUCAUGAGGUGUUCAAUGCUCUCUGCAGUGACGUCCAUGGCACACAUGGGUUGUGUUCCAAGAAGGAGAAUGAAUCCUACCAUGAUGCUUGCAAAGAACGCUUUUUCAGUGAGGAGGAAUCUGAAGGUACAGCAUUACCUGUUGCCCGGGCUGUGCUUGUUGACAUGGAACCUAAAGUAAUCAGCCAAACCUUAUCAAUAGCUGCCAGGUCUGGCUGCUGGAAAUACGAUGAUCGGUCGCACUUCUGUCAGAAGCAAGGGUCUGGGAACAACUGGGCAAAUGGUUACUCUGUUCACGGGCCUAGACACAAAGAAGCAAUAAUGAAUCUGGUACAAAAAGAAGCAGAGAAAUGCGAUCGACUCGGUGGAUUUUUCACAAUAAUGAGCAUGGCUGGUGGUACAGGAUCUGGCUUGGGAGCAUUUGUGACCCAGUGUUUAAGAGAUGCUUUUCCAACCUCAUUUAUACUAAACCAUGUUAUCUGGCCUUAUGGCACUGGUGAGGUCAUUGUUCAAAACUACAACUCUCUUUUGACUCUGUCACAUCUGUACCAGUCAUCAGAUGCCCUUCUUGUUCAUGAAAAUGAUGUCAUCCACAAGAUCUGUGCUCAGCUGAUGAAAAUUAAACAGAUCUCCUUCAGGGAUGUAAAUCAAGUCAUUGCACAUCAGCUGGGGAGUGUUUUCCAGCCCACUUACACAGCAGAAGGUGGCUUACACUAUAGCAGAAACCCAUUAGGAGACUUAAUGGAGACGUUAGUUCCACAUCCCGAAUUCAAGAUGUUGGGUCUUCGCAACAUACCUCAGAUGCCUGAAAAUUCCCUCCCUUAUAGCACAUUCAGUUGGCCUGGACUCAUCAAACAUUUAAGGCAGAUGCUCAUUGCUAAUGCUAAAAUGGAGGAAGGUAUUGAUUGGCAAGUACGACCACCGCAGCUAGGCUCUUCCAUCCCCUCCAGUCAUUCCACAAACAAGCCGCUGCAUUUCAAUACUUCCAUUGCCAACCUGGUUAUCCUGCGAGGAAAAGAUAUGCACAACAUAGACUUAGGAAGUUUCCGAGAUCCCUCAUUAUAUACGUCAUGGCUAAACCCUCAGGAUGCUUUUAAUGCGUGGAAAACACCAAGAGCAUUUAACAAGUACGAAAAGUCAGCUGCUUUGGUCAGCAAUAGCCAGUUCCUGCUGAAACCUCUUGACAAUGUUGUAGGAAAAGCUUGGAAUAUGUUUGCUUCCAAAGCCUAUAUUCACCAGUACACUAAAUUCGGAAUCGAAGAGGAAGAUUUCCUGGACAGCUUCACAGCUCUGGAACAAGUUAUCUCCAGUUACACCAUCCUUUGAUUUUUUUUUUAAAUCGUCUGAAAUAGAGCCUUCCUGAAAGAACCCAGCGCUAGAAAACCUUCCAUCAACUUCCUGAACUAUAUAAAUUACUGGACUGUAGCUAUUUUUCAGUCUUGCCAGGUACAGAAGCACCAAAAUCCGCCCCCGAGCACCUGUUCUCAAACCAGCUGUGGCGCACGACACCUGGAAUGGCAAAGAGACUUCUUGACGAGGUUCAAGUAACUGUACGAUUGAAUCUGAAGCAAGUCCAGUUUCUUUCAGAGACAGAAAAGAAACGCUAAGCGCACAAACCUGCUUUUUUCAAGCCUUUUCAACAGAUGGAAAGAGCCUAAGAAACAUUCCGUCUCAGGAAAGACACACAGUCCAUUAAAACUCACACGGUUUCGACA
This is an RNA transcript of Aptenodytes forsteri (emperor penguin), 1970 nucleotides long. It is a transcript of the gene named tubulin delta 1, with no coding region annotated. The transcript is spliced from 11 exons. NCBI's taxonomy places the organism in Eukaryota, Metazoa, Chordata, Aves, Sphenisciformes, Spheniscidae. The record is from RefSeq and is a predicted model, not a curated record.